UACGUAGGGGGCAAGCGUUGUCCGGAUUUAUUGGGCGUAAAGAGCGUGUAGGCGGCCAGGUAGGUCCGUUGUGAAAACUGGAGGCUUAACCUCCAGCGGUCGAUGGAAACCAUCUGGCUAGAGUCCGGAAGAGGAGAGUGGAAUUCCUGGUGUAGCGGUGAAAUGCGCAGAUAUCAGGAAGAACACCUAUGGCGAAGGCAGCUCGCUGGGACGUUACUGACGCUGAGACGCGAAAGCGUGGGGAGCAAACAGG
RNAcentral lists this ribosomal RNA (253 nucleotides) under uncultured bacterium. RNAcentral's name for it is "partial 16S ribosomal RNA". It matches the Rfam family "Bacterial small subunit ribosomal RNA", at positions 524 to 776 of the family's 1533-position model. The record is from RNAcentral.